UACAUAUUACUGAUUUAGCACAAUGUGCGUUGCGUUAAGGUAGGACAUGACAAUGGCUGCUACUGCAGAUUACAGUGUGACUGUCUACCAAGGCACGUGGUCAACCGCACAGAAUGACGACGCAAAAUUUCGUAUACGUAUUGUUCUUGCAGUCAUUCUAUAUGCUAUAUAUUCACCGAAGACGCCUUACUGUAACUUAAUCGCUUACUGUUCGGUGCAUGUCAGUAUAGUAAAGAACGCUGCCAGUGCUACUGCAAUGUGUAGAGCACAUAUAAUUAAAGCAUAUCUGGUCGCCCACAUCAUUCUUCAGUGGUACUCGGCAAGCGCCCAAUCUAGAGCGAGCGCUUGUCUAGAGACGCCCACAGUGGAAAACUGCAGUCUUGUCCGCCUCAAGUGGAGCUUCAACGCUCAAUUAGGAAGAUGUGAAAGAAAUUACGUCUGUUCAAACCACCCUAAUGCUUUCCAAGAUGAAGCUUCGUGCAUGGCAAUGUGCCCUUCAGUUACAGAUAACGCACCUCUACCAAGAGAUGACUGCUCGUAUUGGAUUCAACAUUUAGACCAAUGCGAGUUCAAACGAGAGACGUUCUACCCGGACCCGCAAGGGCGAAGACAGCGUGUAUUGCUGUACAGGUUCUGUGGAGAAGGAAACACGAAAUUAUACGCUUACUACUUCAUAAGUGGCGAAUGUUCAGGUAAGCAAAUAUUGCGCGAAAGCAUCGGCCGCGAAGGGGUUAAGU
RNAcentral lists this long non-coding RNA (737 nucleotides) under Dermacentor andersoni. Its description in RNAcentral is "uncharacterized LOC126543144". Lineage: Eukaryota; Metazoa; Arthropoda; Arachnida; Ixodida; Ixodidae. The record is from RNAcentral.